RNAcentral lists this unclassified non-coding RNA (380 nucleotides) under uncultured bacterium. RNAcentral's name for it is "contains 16S-23S intergenic spacer region". The record is from RNAcentral.
UCACGUCUUACGACGGCAGUUUCACUAGAGUUCCCAGCAUUACCUGAUGGCAACUAGUGAUGGGGGUUGCGCUCGUUGCGGGACUUAACCCAACAUCUCACGACACGAGCUGACGACAGCCAUGCAGCACCUGAACCACCGGUCCCUUGCGGGAAAACCCCAUUUCUGAGGCGGUCCGAUGUUGUCUAGCCCAGGUAAGGUUCUUCGCGUUGCCUCGAAUUAAACCACACGCUCCGCUGCUUGUGCGGGCCCCCGCCUAUCCCUUUGAGUUUUAACCUUGCGGCCGUAGUCCCCAGGCGGUGAACUUAAUGCAUUAGCUGCGGCACUGAUCGGGUCAAUCCGACCAACACCUAGUUCACAACGUUUAGGGCGUGGACUAC